GAUGAAGAACGCAGCGAAAUGCGAUAAGUAAUGUGAAUUGCAGAAUCCAGUGAAUCAUCGAAUCUUUGAACGCACAUUGCGCCCGCCAGCAUUCUGGCGGGCAUGCCUGUUCGAGCGUCAUUUCAAUCCUCGACCUCCCUUUGGGGAAGUCGGCGUUGGGGACCGGCAGCACACCGCCGGCCCUGAAAUGGAGUGGCGGCCCGUCCGCGGCGACCUCUGCGUAGUAAUCCAACUCGCACCGGAACCCCGACGCGGCCACGCCGUAAAACACCCAACUUCUGAACGUUGACCUCGAAUCAGGUAGGACUACCCGCUGAACUUAAGCAUAUCAAUAAGCGGAGGA
Molecule: unclassified non-coding RNA, 343 nt
Filed under: soil metagenome
Description: partial contains 5.8S ribosomal RNA, internal transcribed spacer 2, and large subunit ribosomal RNA
Rfam family: 5.8S ribosomal RNA (bases 1-120)
Source: RNAcentral